UUGAGUUGUAGGUUGUUGGCCACAAAGUGAGUAAGGUCGCCGUGGCGGCUCACCGUGCCCUCCAGCUCUAGGGGGCUGGAGAUUGUGGCGCGACGUCCUCCGCCCGCGCCGGUCUCGCCACUGGAUGAAGACCCCCCUCCACCGCACGCCCCACUCAGCCCGUCCAGGCUGCGGCUGUCCUGAAGGCGGCUGGGGAACGAGCGGCCAGCCCUACCCGCCGCCGCCUCUUCGUCGUCGUCGUCGUCGUCGUCGUCGUCACCCUCUUGCUGCGGCAGCUCCACAUUCAUCUCGACGCCUCCGGGGCUCCCUCGACGGCAGACCCUCAGAGCGGAGGGCUGAUCCUCGCUGGGCUCGGGCUCCGGGUACCAGGAGGACGGGGGCGGGGCGUGCUGGGAACCCGGCACCCCCCGGCGUCCCCGGGCCCCUGACGGCGUCGCCCGGGAGCUCGGCUUGUCCUCCCAAGUGUCCAGCUCCGGCCCAUGGGCGAUGCUGCCGCUCCAAGUCUUUGGGGACGCUCGGGGAUGACGGCUCGCGACCCCAACGCUCUCCGCCUCUUCCUCGCCGGACAACGUCCUGACUGAGGGCGGCUUCGAGGGCGUUCGGGACGGCCUGCCGCUGAAAGUCGCGGCCUGGUGCUCGGCGCCGACCGAAAGCUCCGGCUCCGGUCCGAGCCGCCCCUGGGCGGCCUCCAUACUGAGGGUGGGGGCCGGAACCGCGAGUCGUCCGCCGGGCUCCCCCGGCAGCGGCGGCGCCUUUAAGGGGCGUUGGCGGAGGCGCGCCGAUUGGCAGCCGGAUGAUAAUGGUCCGGACAGGAAGGGCUCUGUGAUUGGUCGCCACCCCAGGAAGUUCCGGGAGGAGGGCUGUUAUGGAACUGCAGAACACACGUGAAAGCCAGUCGGGUGGCCGCUCCGGGGUGACAGCUCUGCGCGGGGCUCCGCCCCUUCGGAAAGUUGAGGGGGCGGGUCUUAAAAGCCCCGAGCCCAGGCGCGCCCGAGUCCCACCGGGGCGGAGCUUAGGCUCCGCGUCCACGGUGGUGUCGUCCCGAAUUACCGCGGAGCAGUCACACACCGCCGGGGAUCGUUCUUGGGAGCUCUAGGGGGUUCUUGGAUGCUCAGGGUUGGACCGAACCGAGCUAGAAAACCGAGAAAGAAAAACAGCAGCGCCAAGAGAGAGAAAGGUGGAAUUCCUAGCGGAACGGGGCUGAUUGGCUCCAUCCUUGAAACAUUGACAGACUUGACUGGUCGUUGAAGAGCCCAGAAGCGACACACUGUGCAGGGAAUUGCAGCUCCUGGACUUUCCUGUGCUUUUGUCACUCGUCGGCCUCCUGUCCCCUCAGCGUUAGAGCGUUUCUUUCAUUGGAGGAUAAUAUUGGGUUUUUUUUUUGGGGGGGGGGUCACAAGAGAAAAUAUUCCAUAGGUGAAAGGAUCUGAAGUUUUAAUAAGCCCUCUCGGGGAAAAUAAAGGGCUGUGAUUGAGAGUAAGAAGGACUAGUUAGAUGAGGUCGGGAAAGGUCUCUGAUGGGAACUAUCAAGAGCAUCAACUCAGCUUGCUGACAGAGGGAGAGGAGCGGCUUACCUAAACCUCAGAGGCAAAGAAGGUUUGAUAUAAACCACAAACGCUGGGGUACGGAGUGUGGGGAAGAGGCAGAGAGAAGACACCAGGGCUAAAAUAAAUGAGAAGGGAGAGGAUUAACAACAUCCAGACCGAAGAUUCAGGACUCCAGGGCCACGUUUCCCAGGGCAUUGUAGUUUCUGUAGCAUAUGGAGAUUCUUUCCAAGGACCAUGGGACAGGAAUCAAAUGGUAGAAAAGUCGUCAACUGCAACAUACUGCCGAAGCUCUGGGAGCCUUCUAGUUAGCAGAACAAUGUAUUAAUAUUCUUCCUUGGUUUAGAAUCUUUGUAUACCCCCGGCUGUCCUGGAACUACCUUUGUAGACCAGGCUGCCCUCGAACUUGCAGAGAUCCUGCCUUUGCCUCCCAAGUUUCUGGCUGGGGUUAAAGGCAGAAGGACACCAUGCGGGACUUGUUCCUCCUUUUGAAACUGAGUCCUAUGUGGAAAGUGUGUACAAUUACUGUGGAUAGUAACUGCAGAAUCUUCCUGUUUUCCCCAGCACCAACGCUGACUUUUGCAGUCCCCUCCACCCUGUCUUUGUUCUUGUGUUCCUUGCUCAUUUCUUGAGGUCUUUUUUCCUUCGAAAGAAGCCAUCUUUUGCAAGUCUUUUGUCUUCUACUACUAUUCCUACUGCUACUAUUAUUCCUCCUCCUCCUCUUGAUGCCAAAGGUGUGACAUUUGGUGUGACAGUAGAGGUUUUACUUGGUGGCAUAAGGUUUAGUUGGGACAUUGUCUUCCCUACUAUUUGGUGACUCCAUGUAGAGUCUUUUCAUAUAUGUACAUGUCUUAGGGAGCCUCUGCAGUAGGUUUGCAUAUGGUUCUUAAAUGGCCUUUAGUGUUAGCUGUCCCUCCCCAGAGUUCCUCCUUUACCUUCCUUGACCCAUUAAAUCCUCCUAGUUUCCCCUUUGGCUCUCCAUAACAGCAUAUUCUAUUUCCCCGUCUAAGUACCUGUCUUAGUUUGAGUUUCAAUUGCUAUAAAAGAGACACCAGGACC
This 2603-nucleotide long non-coding RNA is filed under the name Mus pahari (shrew mouse). RNAcentral describes it as "RIKEN cDNA 9330160F10 gene (MGP_PahariEiJ_G0002561.1)". Lineage: Eukaryota; Metazoa; Chordata; Mammalia; Rodentia; Muridae. The record is from RNAcentral.